This 253-nucleotide ribosomal RNA is filed under the name uncultured bacterium. RNAcentral's name for it is "partial 16S ribosomal RNA". It matches the Rfam family "Bacterial small subunit ribosomal RNA", at positions 524 to 776 of the family's 1533-position model. The record is from RNAcentral.
UACGGAGGGUGCAAGCGUUGUCCGGAUUUAUUGGGUUUAAAGGGUGCGUAGGUGGCUUGUUAAGUCCGGGGUGAAAGCCCACAGCUCAACUGUGGAACUGCCCUGGAUACUGGCGAGCUUGAGUCCAGACGAGGUUGGCGGAAUGGAUGCUGUAGCGGUGAAAUGCAUAGAUAGCAUCCAGAACCCCGAUUGCGAAGGCAGCUGACUAGGCUGGUACUGACGCUGAGGCACGAAAGCGUGGGGAGCGAACAGG